GCGGGGGUAGCCAAGCCUGGCCAAAGAUGCUUGCAGUGGAUGCGCGGGACUUAAGAUCCCGUCCCUUAGGGGUUCGUGGGUUCAAAUCCCACCCCCCGCA
This 100-nucleotide transfer RNA is filed under the name Nitrososphaerales archaeon. Its description in RNAcentral is "tRNA-Leu". It matches the Rfam family "tRNA". Rfam says of the family: Transfer RNA (tRNA) molecules are approximately 80 nucleotides in length. Their secondary structure includes four short double-helical elements and three loops (D, anti-codon, and T loops). Further hydrogen bonds mediate the characteristic L-shaped molecular structure. tRNAs have two regions of fundamental functional importance: the anti-codon, which is responsible for specific mRNA codon recognition, and the 3' end, to which the tRNAs corresponding amino acid is attached (by aminoacyl-tRNA synthetases). tRNAs cope with the degeneracy of the genetic code in two manners: having more than one tRNA (with a specific anti-codon) for a particular amino acid; and 'wobble' base-pairing, i.e. permitting non-standard base-pairing at the 3rd anti-codon position. Lineage: Archaea; Thermoproteati; Nitrososphaerota; Nitrososphaeria; Nitrososphaerales. The record is from RNAcentral.